Non-coding RNA from Potamilus streckersoni, 77 nucleotides. The record is from the annotation of a GenBank genome assembly. NCBI's taxonomy places the organism in Eukaryota, Metazoa, Mollusca, Bivalvia, Unionida, Unionidae.
GACCGCUCCGUUGGUCUAGUGGUUAGAGCGUUCGCCUUGGACGCGAGAAGCAGCGAGUUCAAAUCUCAACCGAGUCA